Molecule: ribosomal RNA, 472 nt
Filed under: uncultured bacterium
Lineage: Bacteria
Description: bacterial SSU rRNA
Rfam family: Bacterial small subunit ribosomal RNA
Source: RNAcentral
UGGGGAAUAUUGGACAAUGGGGGCAACCCUGAUCCAGCAAUGCUGCGUGUGUGAAGAAGGCCCUCGGGUUGUAAAGCUCUUUCGGACGGAACGAAAUGGUUACGGAUAAUACCUGUGACUGAUGACGGUACUGUAAGAAGAAGCACCGGCUAACUACGUGCCAGCAGCCGCGGUAAUACGUAGGGUGCGAGCGUUAAUCGGAAUUACUGGGCGUAAAGCGUGCGCAGGCGGUUCGCCAAGUCAGGUGUGAAAUCCCCGGGCUUAACCUGGGAAUUGCGCUUGAAACUAGCGGGCUUGAGUGUGGCAGAGGGGGGUGGAAUUCCACGUGUAGCAGUGAAAUGCGUAGAGAUGUGGAGGAACACCGAUGGCGAAGGCAGCCCCCUGGGUCAACACUGACGCUCAUGCGCGAAAGCGUGGGGAGCAAACAGGAUUAGAUACCCCCGUAGUCCCUGAGCGGGCUGGCAAGGCGCAU